Molecule: ribosomal RNA, 417 nt
Filed under: uncultured bacterium
Lineage: Bacteria
Description: bacterial SSU rRNA
Rfam family: Bacterial small subunit ribosomal RNA
Source: RNAcentral
UAUUGGUCGAUGGGCGGGAGCCUGAACCAGCCAAGUCGCGUGAGGGAGUAAGGCCCUACGGGUCGUAAACCUCUUUUGCCGGGGAGCAGGGCGGCGGACGCGUCCGCCGUUGGAGAGGACCCGGAGAAAAGGAAUCGGCUACCUCCGUGCAAGCAGCCGCGGUAAUACGGAGGAUGCGAGCGUUAUCCGGAUUUAUUGGGUUUAAAGGGUGCGUAGGCGGGCUUUUAAGUCAGCGGUAAAAAUUCGGGGCUCAACCCCGUCCGGCCGUUGAAACUGGGGGCCUUGAGUGGGCGAGAAGAAGGCGGAAUGCGUGGUGUAGCGGUGAAAUGCAUAGAUAUCACGCAGAACCCCGAUUGCGAAGGCAGCCUUCCGGCGCCCUACUGACGCUGAGGCACGAAAGUGCGGGGAUCGAACAGG